Molecule: ribosomal RNA, 497 nt
Filed under: uncultured bacterium
Lineage: Bacteria
Description: partial 16S ribosomal RNA
Rfam family: Bacterial small subunit ribosomal RNA
Source: RNAcentral
GAUGAACGCUGGCGGCGUGCCUAAUACAUGCAAGUCGAGCGAACGGACGAGAAGCUUGCUUCUCUGAUGUUAGCGGCGGACGGGUGAGUAGCACGUGGAUAACCUACCUAUAAGACUGGGAUAACUUCGGGAAACCGGAGCUAAUACCGGAUAAUAUUUUGAACCGCAUGGUUCAAAAGUGAAAGACGGUCUUGCUGUCACUUAUAGAUGGAUCCGCGCUGCAUUAGCUAGUUGGUAAGGUAACGGCUUACCAAGGCAACGAUGCAUAGCCGACCUGAGAGGGUGAUCGGCCACACUGGAACUGAGACACGGUCCAGACUCCUACGGGAGGCAGCAGUAGGGAAUCUUCCGCAAUGGGCGAAAGCCUGACGGAGCAACGCCGCGUGAGUGAUGAAGGUCCUCGGAUCGUAAAACUCUGUUAUUAGGGAAGAACAUAUGUGUAAGUAACUGUGCACAUCUUGACGGUACCUAAUCAGAAAGCCACGGCUAACUACGUG